UGGGGAAUAUUGGACAAUGGGGGAAACCCUGAUCCAGCGACGCCGCGUGUGUGAAGAAGGCCUGCGGGUUGUAAAGCACUUUUAGUGGGGACAAAAAGCUACGGAUUAAUACUCUGUGGUCUUGAUUUAACCCAAAGAAAAAGCACCGGCUAACUCUGUGCCAGCAGCCGCGGUAAGACAGAGGGUGCAAACGUUGUACGGAAUUACUGGGCGUAAAGCGCGUGUAGGCUGCCUCAAAAGUCGGAUGUGAAAGCCCUGGGCUCAACCUAGGAAGUGCAUUCGAAACUGCGAGGCUUGAGUCCUGGAGAGGAAGGCGGAAUUCUCGGUGUAGAGGUGAAAUUCGUAGAUAUCGAGAGGAACACCGGUGGCGAAGGCGGCCUUCUGGACAGUGACUGACGCUGAGACGCGAAAGCGUGGGGAGCAAACAGGAUUAGAUACCCUGGUAGUCCACGCCGUAAACGAUGGGUGCUAGGUGUCGCGGGCUUUGACCCCUGCGGUGCCGUAGCUAACGCAUUAAGCACCCCGCCUGGGGAGUACGGCCGCAAGG
This 547-nucleotide ribosomal RNA is filed under the name uncultured bacterium. RNAcentral's name for it is "bacterial SSU rRNA". It matches the Rfam family "Bacterial small subunit ribosomal RNA", at positions 355 to 893 of the family's 1533-position model. The record is from RNAcentral.